RNAcentral lists this ribosomal RNA (466 nucleotides) under uncultured bacterium. RNAcentral's name for it is "partial 16S ribosomal RNA". It matches the Rfam family "Bacterial small subunit ribosomal RNA", at positions 28 to 507 of the family's 1533-position model. The record is from RNAcentral.
AUUGAACGCUGGCGGCAUGCCUUACACAUGCAAGUCGAACGGCAGCACGGGUGCUUGCACCUGGUGGCGAGUGGCGAACGGGUGAGUAAUACAUCGGUACAUGUCCUGUAGUGGGGGAUAGCCCGGCGAAAGCCGGAUUAAUACCGCAUACGAUCUACGGAUGAAAGCGGGGGGCCUUCGGACUUGGCGCUGUAGGGUUGGCCGAUGGCGGAUUAGCUCGUUGGGGGGGUAGAGGCUUACCAAGGCGACGAGGGGUAGCCGGCCUGAGAGGGUGACCGGCCACAUUGGGACUGCGAUACGGCCCAGACUCCGACGGGAGGCAGCAGGGGGGAAUAUUGCACAAUGGGCGGGAGCCUGAUGCAGCAACGCCGCGUGUGGGAUGACGGCCUUCGGGUUGUAAACCGCUUUCGCCUGUGACGAAGCGUGAGUGACGGUAAUGGGUAAAGAAGCACCGGCUAACUACGUG